This 443-nucleotide ribosomal RNA is filed under the name uncultured bacterium. Its description in RNAcentral is "partial 16S ribosomal RNA". It matches the Rfam family "Bacterial small subunit ribosomal RNA", at positions 338 to 795 of the family's 1533-position model. The record is from RNAcentral.
ACUACGGGUGGCAGCAGUGGGGAAUAUUGGGCAAUGGGCGCAAGCCUGACCCAGCAACGCCGCGUGAAGGAAGAAGGCUUUCGGGUUGUAAACUUCUUUUCUCAGGGACGAAGAAAGUGACGGUACCUGAGGAAUAAGCCACGGCUAACUACGUACCAGCAGCCGCUGUAAUACGUAGGUGGCAAGCGUUAUCCGGAUUUAUUGGGUGUAAAGGGCGUGUAGGCGGGAGCGCAAGUCAGAUGUGAAAACUCAGGGCUCAACCCUGAGCCUGCAUUUGAAACUGUGUUUCUUGAGUGCUGGAGAGGCAAUCGGAAUUCCGUGUGUAGCGGUGAAAUGCGUAGAUAUACGGAGGAACACCAGUGGCGAAGGCGGAUUGCUGGACAGUAACUGACGCUGAGGCGCGAAAGCGUGGGGAGCAAACAGGAUUAGAUACCCCUGUAGUC